This 468-nucleotide ribosomal RNA is filed under the name uncultured bacterium. Its description in RNAcentral is "partial 16S ribosomal RNA". It matches the Rfam family "Bacterial small subunit ribosomal RNA", at positions 28 to 507 of the family's 1533-position model. The record is from RNAcentral.
GACGAACGCUGGCGGCGUGCUUAACACAUGCAAGUCGAACGGAAAGGCCCUGCUUUUGUGGGGUGCUCGAGUGGCGAACGGGUGAGUAACACGUGAGUAACCUGCCCUUGACUUUGGGAUAACUUCAGGAAACUGGGGCUAAUACCGGAUAGGAGCUCCUGCUGCAUGGUGGGGGUUGGAAAGUUUCGGCGGUUGGGGAUGGACUCGCGGCUUAUCAGCUUGUUGGUGGGGUAGUGGCUUACCAAGGCUUUGACGGGUAGCCGGCCUGGGAGGGUGACCGGCCACAUUGGGACUGAGAGACGGCCCAGACUCCUACGGGAGGCAGCAGUGGGGAAUAUUGCACAAUGGGCGGAAGCCUAAUGCAGCAACGCCGCGUGCGGGAUGACGGCCUUCGGGUUGUAAACCGCUUUCGCCUGUGACGAAGCGUGAGUGACGGUAAUGGGUAAAGAAGCACCGGCUAACUACGUG